AUGCCGGUGCACGCGGUUCAGUACGGCAAGGUGCUCCAGCUCGAGAUGCCCGUGUCCGAGCGGCGCCGCCUGCUGUUCGCGGAGGAGGACGACCGCGCGUUCCUCGUGGUCGGCGGCUCGCUCGGCCUGGGCGUGCUCAUCGCCUUGUCGGUGGUGUGCAUCAGGGCGGGGGCGUCCCCGCCGCCGCACUACGUGACCAAGGUGUGGGCGAACGGGCCGCCGUCGGCAGGCAACGACAGGACCGACACGGUCCGAACGGAAAUCCAGGUGACGAGCAGCAAGGAGCCCGGCACCGUCGCCGUGGAGGAGCUGACCUUCUUGACGGUGCCACACAAGCUGCUUGCUGGGGCUGGCCCGUCCAGGAGGGUGUCCCUCCAUGUUCGCAUUGACAAGAUCACCUCCUGA
Molecule: ribosomal RNA, 405 nt
Filed under: Triticum aestivum (bread wheat)
Lineage: Eukaryota; Viridiplantae; Streptophyta; Magnoliopsida; Poales; Poaceae
Description: partial small subunit ribosomal RNA
Source: RNAcentral